Molecule: ribosomal RNA, 250 nt
Filed under: uncultured bacterium
Lineage: Bacteria
Description: partial 16S ribosomal RNA
Rfam family: Bacterial small subunit ribosomal RNA
Source: RNAcentral
UACAGAGGUCUCAAGCGUUGUUCGGAAUCACUGGGCGUAAAGGGUGCGUAGGCCGCAUGGUAAGUCAGGUGUGAAAGCCCGGAGCUCAACUCCGGAACUGCACCCGAUACUGCCGUGCUUGAGGACUGGAGAGGAGUCUGGAAUUCACAGUGGAGCAGUGAAAUGCGUAGAUAUUGUGAGGAACACUAGUGGCGAAGGCGAGACUCUGGACAGUUCCUGACGCUGAGGCACGAAGGCCAGGGGAGCAAAC